Molecule: long non-coding RNA, 746 nt
Filed under: Malus domestica (apple)
Lineage: Eukaryota; Viridiplantae; Streptophyta; Magnoliopsida; Rosales; Rosaceae
Description: long non-coding RNA (MDOM_LNC013988)
Source: RNAcentral
ACCUGAAAUGCUUCUAGGUAGAGUUAGCUGAAGUAGAAAAACCAGAUGAUAGAUUGGCCACUAUGGCAUUAAAAAAAAAAAACCUUUACGUUCAUUCGCCACUAUUUCCUGAAGUUAAACAAGAGAAAAUACGACUAGGCUAUCUUAGCAGAGUGUUUCGACAUCACUAAUGACCUUACGGACUGAGAUGACAAAACUAGAAGAACAAUGGCCGAACCCAGAUUCUCGAAGGACGGAAAAAAUAAGAAGCAACAGGGACACCCCACCUCAUUCUCCACGCCAGAUAACUAGGGGAGGAUGUCAAAACAAACAAGCUCCAACAAAACCAAAACAUUACACCGCACUAAACACUACUAUCAACAACAACAUCCUUCACAGUAUCAAGGACAAGUCAUUCUUGAAAUAGCCAAAGCCACUCCCAGACCACCUUGAUUAAAAAAUACCCAAUGAGUAAUGCUUUUUUCACAAAAAACACUAGACAUGCUACCAGAGGUUGUCGAAUGCUGAUGGACCACAUCAAUGAGCUACUCGACCAGGGGCAUUGUUGGAAAUUUGUAAGAGAUAAGGCAAGAAAAAACAGGCUUUGCCGAACCUGAAGGGAGGGAUUAAGCUGACAAGCAUAUGGACGAUAAAGAUCAACGCUUGAUGAAAAAGCCCACGUUCAAUAUAAACUGCAUUAAUGGAGAAUAUAGGACCUCGAAAAGAAGAAAUCUGGUGCCCAUUACCUUAAGAUGUGCUCCUUGCCG